CCUGGAACUCACCAUGUAGACCAGGCUGGCCUUUAAGUCACAGAGAUCUGCCUGCUUCUGCCUCCUGAGUGCUGGGAU
RNAcentral lists this microRNA precursor (78 nucleotides) under Mesocricetus auratus (golden hamster). RNAcentral describes it as "miRNA (ENSMAUG00000003189.1)". The record is from RNAcentral. Lineage: Eukaryota; Metazoa; Chordata; Mammalia; Rodentia; Cricetidae.